This 433-nucleotide ribosomal RNA is filed under the name uncultured bacterium. Its description in RNAcentral is "partial 16S ribosomal RNA". It matches the Rfam family "Bacterial small subunit ribosomal RNA", at positions 29 to 507 of the family's 1533-position model. The record is from RNAcentral.
AGCGAACGCUGGCGGCAGGCCUAACACAUGCAAGUCGAACGGAUCCUUCGGGAUUAGUGGCGGACGGGUGAGUAACACGUGGGAACGUGCCCUUUGGUUCGGAACAACUCAGGGAAACUUGAGCUAAUACCGGAUGUGCCCUUCGGGGGAAAGAUUUAUCGCCAUUGGAGCGGCCCGCGUCUGAUUAGCUAGUUGGUGAGGUAACGGCGCACCAAGGCGACGAUCAGUAGCUGGUCUGAGAGGAUGAUCAGCCACACUGGGACUGAGACACGGCCCAGACUCCUACGGGAGGCAGCAGUGGGGAAUCUUGCGCAAUGGGCGAAAGCCUGACGCAGCCAUGCCGCGUGAAUGAUGAAGGUCUUAGGAUUGUAAAAUUCUUUCAGCGGGGACGAUAAUGACGGUACCCUAAGAAGAAGCUCCGGCUAACUUCGUG